UUUGAUCCUGGCUCAGGAUGAACGCUAGCUACAGGCUUAACACAUGCAAGUCGAGGGGAAACGAUAUUGGAAGCUUGCUUCCGAUAGGCGUCGACCGGCGCACGGGUGAGUAACGCGUAUCCAACCUGCCCACCACUUGGGGAUAACCUUGCGAAAGUAAGACUAAUACCCAAUGAUAUCUCUAGAAGACAUCUGAAAGGGAUUAAAGAUUUAUCGGUGAUGGAUGGGGAUGCGUCUGAUUAGCUUGUUGGCGGGGUAACGGCCCACCAAGGCGACGAUCAGUAGGGGUUCUGAGAGGAAGGUCCCCCACAUUGGAACUGAGACACGGUCCAAACUCCUACGGGAGGCAGCAGUGAGGAAUAUUGGUCAAUGGGCGAGAGCCUGAACCAGCCAAGUAGCGUGCAGGAUGACGGCCCUAUGGGUUGUAAACUGCUUUUAUAAGGGAAUAAAGUGAGUCUCGUGAGACUUUUUGCAUGUACCUUAUGAAUAAGGACCGGCUAAUUCCGUGCCAGCAGCCGCGGUAAUACGGAAGGUCCGGGCGUUAUCCGGAUUUAUUGGGUUUAAAGGGAGCGUAGGCCGGAGAUUAAGCGUGUUGUGAAAUGUAGACGCUCAACGUCUGCACUGCAGCGCGAACUGGUUUCCUUGAGUACGCACAAAGUGGGCGGAAUUCGUGGUGUAGCGGUGAAAUGCUUAGAUAUCACGAAGAACUCCGAUUGCGAAGGCAGCUCACUGGAGCGCAACUGACGCUGAAGCUCGAAAGUGCGGGUAUCGAACAGGAUUAGAUACCCUGGUAGUCCGCACGGUAAACGAUGGAUGCCCGCUGUUGGUCUGAAUAGGUCAGCGGCCAAGCGAAAGCAUUAAGCAUCCCACCUGGGGAGUACGCCGGCAACG
Molecule: ribosomal RNA, 891 nt
Filed under: uncultured Bacteroidota bacterium
Lineage: Bacteria; Pseudomonadati; Bacteroidota
Description: bacterial SSU rRNA
Rfam family: Bacterial small subunit ribosomal RNA
Source: RNAcentral